Molecule: RNA transcript, 5835 nt
Organism: Brienomyrus brachyistius
Lineage: Eukaryota; Metazoa; Chordata; Actinopteri; Osteoglossiformes; Mormyridae
Gene: ggt5a
Gene name: gamma-glutamyltransferase 5a
Exons: 15
Source: RefSeq, a predicted model, not a curated record
AUGGCCGGACCUCAGCACCGGCGCUGCCUCUGCGUUUCCCUGGCGCUGCUGGCGCUCAUCGCCGUCGUGAUUCUCUGCGGUUCGCUCCUCGGUCGCCAGAGCUGCUCGGCGGGGCUUUUCAAGCGCGGCGCCGUGGCCGCCGACUCCGGGACUUGCUCGAAGAUCGGCAGGGACAUUCUGCAGCAGGGGGGCUCGGCAGUAGAUGGCGCUAUUGCAGCACUACUCUGCACCUCUAUCAUUAAUCCACAGAGCAUGGGCCUAGGAGGAGGCUCCAUAUUCACUGUGCGGGAGAAGAGUGGCCGGGUUCGGGUCAUCGUUGCCCGGGAGACCAUUCCGGUGGGGGCCAGAGCAGACCUGCUGAAGGAAUGUCCUUUGAAGGGAAAGACAGACAGCCAGUGGAUCGGCAUUCCAGGGGAGCUUCGUGGCUACGAGCGGGCCCACCAGCUCUAUGGGCGGCUUCCUUGGGCCAGUCUGUUCCAGCCUACCAUUCGGCUAGCUCGCCAGGGCGUCCCCCUGUCCGCUGUCAUGAGCCGUUUCAAGGACCUCCAGGAACUUGAAGAAACUUCACCUCUACGGAAGCUGUUCUCCCAUAAGAACAACACCCUGCUGAAAGUGGGCGAGAUGGUGAAGUUUGAGAAGCUGGCAGACACGCUGGAGGUCAUCGCCAGAGAGGGUGCGGGCGCUUUCUACAUGGGGCCGCUUGCCGAGGAUCUCGUCCAGGAUGUGAGGGAUGCAGGUGGAACUUUGUCCAUGGAGGAUCUGAACUCGUACACAGUAAAAGAAGUGGACCCAUGGUCAAUUAAAAUAGGAGAUUAUACGAUGUACUUUCCUCCACCGCCAUCAGGUGGUGCUAUUCUCAGCUUCAUCCUUAAUAUAAUGAAAGGUUUCAACCUUGACUCAUUCUCCAUUCUUGGAAAGCAGAAGACCUUGACUUAUCACCGCUAUAUUGAAGCAUGCAAGUUUGCCAAUAGCAGGAGGAGUGACAUCCGUGACCCUGCCUUUGUUUCUGACAGGAAUGCAUUCCAGAUGAUGACAGAAGAGCUAGCAGAUCGCGUGCGGCUCAUGAUCAGCAGCAACCGCACUUACGACCUCUCCUACUACAACACCACGCCUUCCGGGGACCAUAUGGGCACCACUCACCUAUCGGUGCUGGAUGAGGAAGGCACCGCGGUGUCUGUCACCAGCUCCAUCAACUUCAUCUUAGGCUCCAAGAUCUACUCCCCAAAGACCGGAGUAAUCCUCAACAACCAGCUGCGGGACUUCUGUGGCCAUGCAGACAGCGUCUCUGCUGGGGAGCGCCCCCCCUCCUCCAUGGCCCCCGUCGUGCUCCACUCUGAAACCAGCUCCAGGGUGCUGCUGAUUGGUGCUUCUGGGGGCAGCAUGAUCCUCGGAGGUAUAGCCCAGACCAUGAUGAACCACCUUUGGUUUGGGAUGAAUCUGAAGGAUGCCAUUUCAACUCCGACUGUAUAUGUGGAUCAGAAAAACACUGUGAAGUUCGAACCCAAAUUUGACCAGAUGCCACCUUGGAGGAGAAACUGGGGAUGAUGAAGCAGUUAGUAGCUGGCAGGGAUUUCAGCGACUCAUGGACAAGCUGAGAAUGAGCGAAAUGCAAUGAUCAAGCAGGAACACGUGGAGCAGCCCGUCCCGGGAACAUCAUGGAGCAGCCCGUCCCGGGAACACGUGGAGCAGCCCGUCCCGGGAACACGUGGAGCAGCCCGUCCCGGGAACAUCAUGGAGCAGCCCGUCCCGGAAACACGUGGAGCAGCCCGUCCUGGGAACACGUGGAGCAGCCCGUCCCGGGAACAUCAUGGAGCAGCCCGUCCCGGGAACACGUGGAGCAGCCCGUCCCGGGAACAUCAUGGAGCAGCCCGUCCCGGAAACACGUGGAGCAGCCCGUCCCGGGAACACGUGGAGCAGCCCGUCCCGGGAACACGUGGAGCAGCCCGUCCCGGGAACAUUAUGGAGCAGCCCGUCCUGGGAACACGUGGAGCAGCCCGUCCCGGGAACAUCAUGGAGCAGCCCGUCCCGGGAACACGUGGAGCAGCCUGUCCCGGGAACAUCAUGGAGCAGCCCGUCCCGGAAACACGUGGAGCAGCCCGUCCCGGGAACACGUGGAGCAGCCCGUCCUGGGAACACGUGGAGCAGCCCGUCCCGGGAACAUCAUGGAGCAGCCCGUCCCGGGAACACGUGGAGCAGCCCGUCCCGGGAACACGUGGAGCAGCCCGUCCCGGGAACACAGCUGCAGACGCCACAGAUUCCCAUCAAAUCAUGCGACUUAGUCACUUUUUUAAAGGGGUCACAUGACGUACACGAUACAAAGAUGCAGCACUUCAAGGCCUUGAAGGCUGGCAGUUACUGGGAUUUGGUUCAGUGUCACAAGCUGCAGGAGACCCUGCUAAGAUGUAAGAAUGACAAGAAAACUUGAAAGACAGUCACAGCUGUAAAAGCUGCAGCCUGAAAAUAUAGGACGGAGGGAACCUGUGUCGAGACAGGUAAAGCGUAGAGCCUGACUGGACCGGAUCCAUAUUAAUUAGGACCGGCCUGGUCCCAUAUCAGGAAACACCUGUAACCACACUAUCCUCGACCCAAGACUCUGAGUGUUGUCCAAGCCGAACAGGGUUGAAAUUAAAGUAAGGUGGAGUCUUUUUCAAUUUUUCAUGCUUGCUGUAUAAGUUUGGAUUUUAGUGAAGUUUGUGGAUUUCUGUGAUUUUUGUGUUUGUAAGUAUAUUGAUGUAAUUGAGGUGUAAGUAAGGUUUGGAAAGAGGCUAGCUGUGUGUGCCGCAUGGCUAAGGUUCCGAGCAUGGGGACCCUGGGGGUGAGACUGUCCACGGGAGGAGCCUGUGGGGUGACCAUUGCUGGUCGUGGAUGGAAACUGGGGGGAGGAUCCCAGCGUUCCGUCAGCUGGUGGCUGCCCGAGACGUUGGAAAAGUCCAUAAUGUUAGUGGCGCCACUAUCUCUGGGUGUCAAAUUGUGAGAUUGUGUGGGAGGGACGAGGAUGCGAGGUGGAUGGUGAGACAGAGAGCAGGCAGCCAGAGAUGGGUAAGAUCCGGGAGAGCUGAUAUUCCUGAGUGAGAAGGGGACCCCUGAGAGAGGCAGCCUAUGGUGGGAUCAACCUAAGACAAGUGCUGUCAGAUGGCCUGCUCCAUGAGGUAAAAGCAAGCGAGGAGUGCUGUAAGAGACCAGUAGAUCUCUAAGGCAUUCUGCUGCAAGGCCAUUCAGUGCUUUAUAAGCUAAUAGAAGUAUUUUGUAGUCUUUUGUAGUAUUUUGUAGUCAAUCUGAGACUUAACAGGACGCCAAUGAAGGGAGCAUAGAACAGGGCUAAUAUGAUCAAAUUGUUUAGUGUUUGUAAGAACUCUGGCUGCUGUAUUCUGUACCAGCUGAAGUUUAUGUAAGGAUCCAGAUGGGAAACCAGAAAUGAGAGCAUGACAGUAGCCCAGUCUGGAAGUUAUAGAGGCAUGUAUUAGUUUUUCAUCAUGAAAGGAGAGCAUCUUCCGAAGCUUGGCUGUGUUUCACAGAUGGUAUAACACAGUUCUAGUAAUACUUUGUAUGUGAGCAUCAAAUCAUACAUCUGAAUCAACCAGAAAACCAACAUCUCUAACCACUGUGUUAAGCUGAGUAGGAAGAUCACUGAGGUUGAGGCUGUCAAACUUAUUUUGACCUUUAGUCCACCUACCAGUAAUUCUGUUUUUUUCUGGGUUCAACAUUUUUUGCCAUCCAACACCAGAUGCAUAGUAGACAGUCUUCUGACCGAGAGACCUGAGAUGCAUCAUUUGGUUUAACAGCCCUUGUGUGGAUCACCCCAGCUGCCUCUCGUCUGCUCCCUCAUCAGUGCUGUAUAUAGUGCCUUCCUGUCUGGAGCUCCCCAGUCUGGUCAUUGUUGUUGCUGCCUCCGUGUACUCCCCAGUUUGCCCUGUGUUCCGGUCUGAUCCUUCCUACCCCAAUUUGGCCCCCCUGUGGUUCCUUUCUUUUUCACUUGCUUGUAGUUUUGUUUAAUAAAUGCCCUUUUGAUUUUUCCCAUGCCUGCCUUUGCCUGUGACGUGACAGAGAAACCCUACCAAAAACACCUGGGCAUCUCAAAGCUGCACCACACAGCAUCAUCAUUGGACCUACCUCCGCCCCCUCCACCGCUCCCCCAUGCAGGUCCCUUCUUGGAGAUCCAUUAGCAGUUUCCCUCUUUUGUAGAGAGAAAGUCCUCUCCUCCAGCCAGGAUCACAGAAAGCCCUCUCCUCCAGCCAGGAUCACGUAAAGCCCUCUCCUCCAGCCAGGAUCACAGAAAGCCCUCUCCUCCAGCCAGGAUCACAGAAAGUCCUCUCCUCCAGCCAGGAUCACAGAAAGCCCUCUCCUCCAGCCAGGAUCACAGAAUGUCCUCUCCUCCAGCCAGGAUCACAGAAAGCCCUCUCCUCCAGCCAGGAUCACAGAAAGCCCUCUCCUCCAGCCAGGAUCACGUAAAGCCCUCUCCUCCAGCCAGGAUCACAGAAAGUCCUCUCCUCCAGCCAGGAUCACGUAAAGCCCUCUCCUCCAGCCAGGAUCACAGAAUGUCCUCUCCUCCAGCCAGGAUCACAGAAUGUCCUCUCCUCCAGCCAGGAUCACAGAAAGCCCUCUCCUCCAGCCAGGAUCACGUAAAGCCCUCUCCUCCAGCCAGGGUCACGUAAAGCCCUCUCCUCCAGCCAGGAUCACAGAAAGCCCUCUCCUCCAGCCAGGAUCACAGAAAGCCCUCUCCUCCAGCCAGGAUCACAGAAAGCCCUCUCCUCCAGCCAGGAUCACAUAAAGCCCUCUCCUCCAGCCAGGAUCACAGAAAGCCCUCUCCUCCAGCCAGGAUCACAGAAAGCCCUCUCCUCCAGCCAGGGUCACGUAAAGCCCUCUCCUCCAGCCAGGAUCACAGAAAGCCCUUUCCUCCAGCCAGGAUCACGUAAAGCCCUCUCCUCCAGCCAGGGUCACGUAAAGCCCUCUCCUCCAGCCAGGAUCACAGAAUGUCCUCUCCUCCAGCCAGGAUCACAGAAACCCCUCUCCUCCAGCCAGGAUCACGUAAACUCCUCUCCUCCAGCCAGGGUCAGCAUAUCGUUAUUCCUUUCUAUGAAAGCUUUGUGCUGUUGCCAAACACCUGUGUUUGCGUCUAGGGCAGUGUUUCCCAGUGAGUAGAUCUGCUUUAGCAGCAGUGUGUAAACUGGGCCAGCAAAGCACUGCACACUUCAGAGCAUGGGGCCAAACUGGAGAUGUACUUUAAGUCACGCCCCUUGCUAGUCAUGUGGGGAACUGCAAAUGUAAAUGAAUGGAAAGGUUGGGUGAUUGUUCACCAAUCUUGUCCUGCUUUGUGUAGAAGGGAUUCAGGUAAACAUAGUAUUUAUUAGGGGAGACAGACACUGGGGAACACGAAGCAACAAGCAGAACUGGCCUCAUGAGGUUAAUGACAUUAAUGACCGGACUGGGGAAACAUUUAAGGAAAUGUGCUUAAAUACAUUGGACUAAUUAAAGACAACUAGAAACAGCUGAUAAGAAUUGGAUUCCACAGGAGGUAAACGAGGAGGCAUGGCACACGGGGGGGGGGGGGGUCAGAACGAGAUGUGACAAAGAUAUGGACCCUUCCAUAAUUAUUGGCACCCUGGUUAAAAUGCAUCACAUCAUAUAUAUAUACCUAUACCCUGGUAAAAGUGAUGGAGCCAUGCAUUACUGCCUGAAAGUUUCUAGGCAUAAAAUAUAAAUGGAGAAAAUGUUUCAGUUACAUUUUCUUCAUAAGAAUUUCUAGGUGUGCCAGGUGCUGUGGCUUUUUGCGCAUUAAUUAAAAAUAAUUUCUUGAUGAGGGAUUUUUUUCCUCAGAAUAAAUUUACUUCAAUUAAA